RNAcentral lists this ribosomal RNA (497 nucleotides) under uncultured bacterium. RNAcentral describes it as "partial 16S ribosomal RNA". It matches the Rfam family "Bacterial small subunit ribosomal RNA", at positions 28 to 507 of the family's 1533-position model. The record is from RNAcentral.
GAUGAACGCUGGCGGCGUGCCUAAUACAUGCAAGUCGAGCGAACAGACGAGGUACUUGUUCCUCUUACGUUAGCGGCGGACGGGUGAGUAACACGUGGAGAACCUACCUAUAAGACUGGGAUAACUUCGGGAAACCGGUGCUAAUACCGCAUAAUAUCUUUAACCACAUGGUUCAAUAUUGAAAGACGCUUUUGCAGUCCCCUAUAAAUAUAUCGCGGCCUCUUAGGCUGUUUGGGAAGGUAACGGUCUACCAAGGGAAGGAUGCGUAGCGGACUGGGAAGGGGGAUGGGCCACACUGGAACGGAGACCCGGCCAAGACUCCUACGGGAGGCACCAGUAGGGAAUUUCGGGCAAUGGCGGAAAGCCUGCCGGAGCAAGGCCGCGGGAUGGAGGAAGGUCUUCGGAUCGAAAACCCUGGUUAUAGGGGAAGAACAAGGGUGGAAUUGAAUACGCACCAAGUGACGGUACCUAAUCAGAAAGCCACGGCUAACUACGUG